CCGUCGUCGCCAUGGACGGGCUGUGGUGAGCUCGACGCUGACAGCUGUUCAUCGCCCUUCGUCUUCUUCGUCAGCGCCAUAAGCACGCGGAGGCCAUGGGAGAUCCAUUCCCGCAGCAACCGGACACCGAGGCCGGUGCACGACGCCCCGACGACGAGCAUCUUCUUCACCUCCGGCGAUCUCUUCUGCGGAGUACCUCGACGUCGCGCAUUCCUUUCCUGCGCCGACUCUCCUCUCCGCCCCGUGGUGAGCAGUCGAAGCCUCGUCCCCUCUCCUCUGUCCGAAGUAUCGCGUAGCUGCGUCGCCAGCGUGUCGCCUUGCCGCGCGGCUCUGUAGAGCAGGGCAGCGGAGGUAGCUAGUAGCGGCAAGUAGCAGUAGAAGCCGCAUCAUGCACCCAGCAGUAGCAGCACCACAGCAUCCACAACAUGCAGUUGCAGUAGCACCGAGCGAGCAGUGCAUUCGCGCGCGUAUAGAGCAGCUCGUACGUCGCGUGCGUCGCCGGAGUCGCUCAUCCGUGCGUGUCUCUGUUGCCAUGGAGCUAGCCCCCUGUCUUGCGUUCAACUAGCGUAGAUCCCCCAGUUCGAGCAAACGCCCCACGGUAGCCCAGUGGCAAUAGAGCGUGCGUUGCACCGCAGCGUCCUGAGUUCGAUCCCCAGCGUGCCCCUUUUUCUUUUCAGGGGUUUUUUCCAUCGGCGCUCUUCGAGUAAUUAACUUAGGGAAGUUUCCUCCCGUAGUAGAGCAGUGUUACGAUCCCUAGCAAGCUGGUUCGACCGAGCCAUGGCGACCGUGAGGUCCUGGGUUCGAGUCCCCAUGUCGCCUUUUUUUACUGUUUUAUAUUUCCUGUUGUGAUUAGGGAGUUAGUCAUUGUAUGUCUGCAUACCUUCCCAUACUAGUUCAGCUGCAUGUGGCUAGCCCACUGGUGAUGGUCGUGCACUCCACCAGGGAGAUGGUGGGUUCGACUCCCACCUCUCUCAUAUUUUCCUUUUAUGUGUUGUGACUUGUGUGUGCCACUGACAGGUGGUCCCGGGGCCCUGGUGACUAUGACCAGUAGGCCCCCUGUCAGUUUACAUUUUAGUGGUGAUAUAUUUGUGACUUGUGUGAAAUAUCCUUGUUUGGAGUAAUUCCAGAAAUGGAAUGGCCUGAUCUGGUAUAUCCCAAAUUGGGCAGGCUCAGGAACGGUUCAUGUUCUUGACUAUGCUGUAGUUUGAUCCUGUGUUAUUUUUCUUUUGUUGUUUGUGGUGUUUUUCUGCAUGUAACAUGGGCAGUAUGACAUAUGGAUUUGGGGUAGCAGAACCCAAUGAAUCCAAAGGUGACACUGGAUUCCAGUCGUGAGCAGUUAUGCAGAAGUGUCACUUUGUGUUGAGGUGGCACUUGUUGACCUCGUAGGUUGGUGUAAGUGCAUAGUUAGGGAUUGAGCAUACAUGCAUCAUUUUAGUUAGUGCUUCCUGUUGUGCAUGUCUCUUGAAUGUAGCUCCGUUCUUUGUUCCACAUGUUAACCGACUAGGAUGACAUGUAGAAUCACCGCUUCACCUCUUGCCAUGUUUAACCACAUUUAAUACUGCCGUGUAUCUAAUCGGGAUAGAACUAAAUAACUCAUAUGUGGAGUUUCGUCAAUAUGCAACUCGUUGCAUAUUGAACUUCACUUAAUGUGUAGUGUUUGUUUGUGUGAUUUGUCAUGUCGUGACUUGCAUGUAUUCAGCUGCUCAUGCAUCAUAUGUGUUGUGCAUCGUGUGGUGAAUUCCGUGUGUUGAUUUGUGUUUCCGGUUUGCUUCGUUCCGAUAGAGUUCCGCAAGCGUGUCGGAAUGUGAGGACCCGUUCGACUACGUCAGUUCGUCUGCUUCACGGAGGCAUUCUUCUUCCAAGCGGGAUCUCAGGCAAGAUGAUCAUUUCCUCAGAUACCAUUACUAUCAUUGCCAUGCUAGUUAUUUCGAUGCUAUCGUUUAUGUCUUGUUGCCUACCACAUGUUAAAUCUCAGCCUCUCAACAAUGCCAUGAAACCUUCAACCUGUUCAACCUAGCAAACCACUUAUUGGCUAUGUUAGUGCUUGCUUAACCCUGUUGAUAGCGUUGCUAGUUGCAGGUGCAGUUGCUUCCAUGUGAAACAUGGGUUCCUUGUCAUAUCACCAUAUUAAAUGCUAUUUAAUUUAAUGCACCUAUAUACUUGGUAAAAGGUGGAAGGCUCGGCCUUUCUAGCCUGGUGUUUUGUUCCACCUUUGCCCCCUUUAGUUAUCGGCUGCCGGUGUUAUGUUCCAUAAAUGAGCGCUCCUAACACGAUCGGGGUUGUUAUGGGGACCCCCUUGAUAAUUCGUUUUAGAUUAAAGCUGGUCUGGCAAGGCCCAACAUUGGUACUACAUUUUCCUAAUAACCUAAUAAUAAUGCAUAGGGACCUGCCGGCACCCGCGGACUAUUUUAAUCAACCCCCGGGCCAGUGCUCCUCAUGAGUGUUGGUCCCACCUGAGCGAUGUCCGGCGCCCCUCUGGUCACCCGGAGGUUUAGCGAUCCCAACGUCUAGCUCAUCCGCCGUGUCCUGAGAAUGAGGUACGCGACUCCUAUCGGGAUCGUCGACACGUCGGGCGGCCUUGCUGGAUUAGUUUUACCUUUGACGAGAUAUCUUGUGCAUCGGGAUUCCGGUGAUGCUUUGGGUAAUCUCAGAGUUGAGGUUUUCCAUUAGGGAAUCCGACGAGAUCGCGAGCUUCAUGAUUGAGGAUUUCUAUGCGGCUUGUGGUAAUUUGUGAUGGACUAGUUGGAGCACCCCCGCAGGGUUAAAUCUUUCAGAAAGCCGUGCCCGCGGUUAUGUGGCAACGUGGAAGCUUUGUUUAACACUGGUUCUAGAUAACUUGAAGUUAACUUAAUUAAAACAUGCCAACUGUGUGCGUAACCGUGACUGUCUCUUUCGUGAGUUCCUUCUCCGAUCGAGGACACGGUGGGGUUAUGUCUGACGUAGGUAGGUGUUCAGGAUCAUUCUUUUGAUCAUCUGUAGUGACGUCCGUUAUGCGUAGAUCUCCCCCCUCUUAUUUCUUGUACUCGUAAGUUAGCCACCAAAUAUAUGCUUUGUCGCUGCUGCAACCUCACCAUUUAACCAUGCCUCACCCAUUAAGCUUUGCUAGUCUUGAUACCUUUGGAAAUGAGAUUGCUGAGUCCCCUGUGGCUCACAGUUUACUACAACACCAGUUGCAGGUACAG
Molecule: long non-coding RNA, 3182 nt
Filed under: Hordeum vulgare
Lineage: Eukaryota; Viridiplantae; Streptophyta; Magnoliopsida; Poales; Poaceae
Description: long non-coding RNA (HVUL_LNC007714)
Source: RNAcentral